CAAAUUAGGCUAGGCUUGAAAUACUAAACGUGGCCACCAAAAUUCUGGGCCACAGGGAGCCCACAGAAAGGACUCUAAGGUCCCAGAACUACUAGGUUCAAACAAUUCCUUAAGUUCCUUGAAUGUGCACAGCAUAUUCAAGUCAAACCGUUUCAUUAAAAAAUAAAACAUUGAGCACCUCUAUGUUGAAGCUAUUGCUUCUGCAUAUUGUUGUCCUCUCAACAAUCCUAUCAGGUAGACAAGACAGGCACCUUUGGGACCAUGUUACAGAAGCAACGGGUGGCACCAAGGCAUGAGGUGACUUGCCCAGGGUCACAGAGAUAAUAACCGAGAAAGAGUUGGGGCUACAAUUCAGAUCUUCCUACUCCUAGUCCAGGGCUCCGGAAUGACUGCAGGAGCAAAGAUCCCAGCCCUCACCAACUGGCUGGACAGGGGGAGAUUAGCAGCUCCCCAUCUCUUUCUUAUCUCAGCCUGACAGUGGCCUCCACCAACUCUGCAGUUUGUGCACAAGCCCAGGGCUCAGCAAGCAGGCUUGUAAUGGGAAGGCCCACAGCGGCCUCCCACCCACGGUAGUAAUUCAGUAGGUGUGUCUCAGCUGAGGACUUGGAGAGUUGGUUGUGGCUGGGAGACCACUGUAAUACAAAAAUAAGGCGCACUUCUAAGACGUUUGUGUGCAGUUCGGAGGCUUGGCUUAUGCUCUCUCCUCUGAAUCAAAAUUGGAACGUGUCUUCCCAAAGGGGCCGCAUCUGCAUCCGCCUCGGCCCAGCCUCGAAUGAAAGGACCAAGUCUGAGUAGACGAACGUUCGCGGUCUGGGUCACUAAAUCUAGAGCCGUGCAUCCCAGGCCUGAUGGGAAUCCCACCCAGAUGCCCGCAGGGACCGGGGUUCUGUUCCAGACAAUCCUUCCACUCUUAACCCAGCACCACCGCUCUCUUGAUUUCCCCAUUCCUUCCGGAGGGCAACAGAACUACUGGCCCUUUAAAAACUAUUCGGACCAAAAAAAAAAAAAAAAAAAA
This is a long non-coding RNA of Cercocebus atys (sooty mangabey), 1015 nucleotides long. RefSeq lists it as uncharacterized. Lineage: Eukaryota; Metazoa; Chordata; Mammalia; Primates; Cercopithecidae. The record is from RefSeq and is a predicted model, not a curated record. The transcript is spliced from 2 exons.